GUGGGGAAUCUUGCGCAAUGGGCGAAAGCCUGACGCAGCCAUGCCGCGUGAAUGAUGAAGGUCUUAGGAUUGUAAAAUUCUUUCACCGGGGACGAUAAUGACGGUACCCGGAGAAGAAGCUCCGGCUAACUUCGUGCCAGCAGCCGCGGUAAUACGAAGGGGGCUAGCGUUGCUCGGAAUUACUGGGCGUAAAGGGCGCGUAGGCGGACAGCUUAGUCAGAGGUGAAAGCCCAGGGUUCAACCUUGGAAUUGCCUUUGAUACUGGCUGUCUUGAGUUUGGGAGAGGUGAGUGGAACUCCGAGUGUAGAGGUGAAAUUCGUAGAUAUUCGGAAGAACACCAGUGGCGAAGGCGACUCACUGGCCCAAUACUGACGCUGAGGCGCGAAAGCGUGGGGAGCAAACAGGAUUAGAUACCCUGGUAGUCC
This 425-nucleotide ribosomal RNA is filed under the name uncultured bacterium. Its description in RNAcentral is "partial 16S ribosomal RNA". It matches the Rfam family "Bacterial small subunit ribosomal RNA", at positions 354 to 796 of the family's 1533-position model. The record is from RNAcentral.